CCUACGGGGGGCAGCAGUGAGGAAUAUUGGUCAAUGGGCGGAAGCCUGAACCAGCCAAGUAGCGUGCAGGAUGAAGGCCCUACGGGUCGUAAACCGCUUUUGCACGGGGAUAACACCCUCCACUUGUGGAGGUCUGCAGGUACCGUGCGAAUAAGGGCCGGCUAAUUCCGUGCCAGCAGCCGCGGUAAUACGGAAGGCCCGAGCGUUAUCCGGAUUCAUUGGGCUUAAGGGGAGCGUAGGCGGGCGUUCAAGUCAGCUGUAAAAUCGCGCGGCUCAACCGCGCCCCGCAGUUGAAACUGGACGCAUUGAGUUCACAACAGGCAGGCGGAAUUCGUGGUGUAGCGGUGAAAUGCAUAGAUAUCACGAGGAACCCCGAUUGCGAAGGCAGCCUGCCGGGGUGCGACUGACGCUGAGGCUCGAAGGUGCGGGUAUCAAACAGGAUUAGAUACCCCUGUAGUC
Molecule: ribosomal RNA, 459 nt
Filed under: uncultured bacterium
Lineage: Bacteria
Description: partial 16S ribosomal RNA
Rfam family: Bacterial small subunit ribosomal RNA
Source: RNAcentral